GACCCCCACUGCCACUUCAACGUCCACUGUAGCCGGUGGAGGGAGAACAUAUAGAUUCAAUGCGAAUUGGCUCAAAAUGUUCCCAUGGCUAGAGUUCGAAAACAACGUCAUGUUCUGCAAAUAAUAUAGAGGGCAGAAACAGGCGGGCUCGUCCUUCGUGUCAGGAAACCCGCAUCUGAAAAGAGAUAGCGUAGCGAAACAUUACAUCUCGCGGCGGCAUAUCCAGUGCAGAAAUCUGUACCUGUUGAGAGAAACCAUCAGGCACGGUGUCAGCAGCCUUGAGGAGGCAAGUGCUGCUGUCUGAGGAGGAGAAGAGGAGGCAGCUGAAAAUAAAGAUAAACAUUGCAUACUUCAUUGCGAAAGAAGAAGAACCUUUCGUCAAAUUUGGGCCGUUUAUCAGACUCCACCACAAAAACGGAGUUGACAUUAAUACCACAUACGACAAUGAUGUAAAAUGUGCGGAGAUGAUCGGUCAAAUUGCUGACAUAAUGAAAGAGAGCCUGUCAGCGAAGCUGAAAGCCGCAGGAAGCCAGUCAAUCUCCUGGUCGGACAACAGACACUUGAGCACUCAUGCCAUUGGUGUUUUGGAUGCCACCAAGGCCACAUUUCGUGCUGUUUGCCCAGAGGAGGAUGGAGGGUAAUGGAUGAAGAGGGGCAUCUCCUUCGGGCAGAUGGUGCAUGUGUGAACAUGGGCCACCGAGGGGGAGUGAUUGCCCACUUGCAGGGAAAGGCAGGGGGGCAUAUAAUCCCAAUCCACUGUAUGCCACAUAGAGCCCUCAAAGUGUUCCUGAAGGCAUGGACUAGACAAGGACCGUGCCACUGACGAAGGCCAGUACUCCGUUGUUCUGCAGCACAUGGCUGUAGCAUCAACAACAGCGGAAGUUCAAGGGCGGGCAAAGAAGGUCAGUUUUACACAGGGGAAUCUGAAAGGCUUCACGGACCUCACCAAUCCCCAGCUGAAGCAGCACAUGGAGGCGGCCAUCAACAUCAGCGUGGAUGAUCUCAAAGCCAGGUUUGAUGAAGUCCAGACCCCAGUGGAGUCUUUCAGAGUGCUAAACCCUGACACAUGACCAGAAGACCAGGCCAGCCUUCUCACCUUUGGCGAUGAUGGUGUGGCAGACCUGAUGAGGCAUUUCAAGAAGCCUCUAGAGUUACAGUCUUGUCUCAUCGCUGCAACUCCCGUACGGACUCGGGAGAGGCGAAGGUCGAGAGCCAUGUGUCCCCCGAAACACAACCCAACCAAGCCGCACUGCUUCGUGACACAAUGCCCAUCCAACCCGGAAGCCAGCCGCACCAAUGUGUCGGAGGAAGCACCGUACACCUGGCGACCGUGUCAGCGUGCACUGCGCCCGGCCCACCGCAGGAGUCGCUAGUGCGCGAUGAGACAAGGAUAUCCCUGCCGGCCAAACCCUCCCUAACCCGGAAGACGCUUGGCCAAUUUUGCGCCGCCCCGUUGGCCUCCCGGUCGCAGCCGGCUGCGACAGAGCCUGGACUCGAACCCAGAAUCUCUAGUGGCACAGCUAGCACUGCGAUGCAGUGCCUUAGACCACUGCGCCACCCGGGAGGCGAUCGGGGUGCAACACGACUGUAAUCCAGGAUUAGUGGCAGGGCCUGAACAUCCUGGUCAGACACAAUUUCAAGGACAAGUCCUGCAGUGGCCUGUGGGAGACCAUGUUGACAAAGGACCCCUACAGGCACAAUUGCAAGAACAUACUGGAGUUGGUGCAGCUUAUGCUGGUGCUGCCCAUUUCAGCCGCCCAGUGUGAGCGAGGCUUCUCUGCGCAGAACCGGAUUAAGAAUUCGACAAGACGCUGCCUUGGGGUCUCCACCACCGAAGACCUGAUGAGGAUCAGCCUGGAGGGGCCUCCUGUCGAGGAGUUGGAUCCCACUCCUGCCGUGGACCGCUGGCUGACCUCUAAGCGUGCCAGACGGCCAACAUACAAAAGCAGCUGGACAACCGAUAUCCUUUGCGUCUAGUAGCCAUGGGUCAAUGUGUGGUUUUGGUGGUAUGUGCUGUUCCACAUGUGUCCCUUAGUACACGCUCACACACACACACGCAGUAUAAAUAUGUAUGUAAUAGAUUGUUUGUUAAUAAACUGUGUUACAUUUUUCACUGUGCUCCUAAAUUUCUUUGUGUGCUCCUACAUUUUUUCAUUUAGGAGCGCAUGUACUCCUUGGGAAAAAAGAUAGCGUAGAGCCCUGGGCAGACCACGUGUAUGGUGUCUUGUGGGCGAGUGGUUUGCUGAUGUCAACAUUGUGAACAGUGCCCCAUGGUGGUGGGGUUAUGGUAUGGGCAGGCAUAAGAUACGGACAAUGAACACAAUUGCAUUUUAUCGAUGGCAAUUUGAAUGCACAAAAAUAUAGUGAGGCCCAUGUUUUUUAAAGGUAUCUGUGACCAACAGAUGCAUAUCUGUAUUCCCAGUCAUGUGAAAUCUAUAGAUUAGGGCCUAAUAAAUGUAUUUCAACUGACUGAUUUCCUCAUAUGAACUGUAACUCAGUAAAAUCAAUGAAAUUGUUGCAUGUUUCUAAUUUUGUUCAGUUUAGCUCUCACCGGGAAUGGAAGUACCCAGAGCCACAAACACCACGGCAGUGACAGUGUCCCUGAGACCGACGGUGCAGCCGAAGUGGGAGGCUAGGUCCCCGAUGACAGCAGUCAGGAUGCCGAUAACCGAGAUGGACACGAAGAAGCAGGCCCAGCCAUUCCAGUACUCGGUGGGCGGAACGAAGGCGAACAGAACCUUCCAGAACACCGUCAGGAAGUGCAUGACGUAGUCGUAGCAGGAUGGCAGACGCUCCUCACGCCCCUCUUCAUCAUCGUCAUCACCAUCACCUGGGAGGGGGACACAGUAAAACAUAAGAGCCACAUAUACAAACACACUCAUGCACGGACGCACACCAGUGGUGGUCGGUGCCAUUUAAGAUGAGGGAGGACAAUACAUUUUUUAUGAGCAUGGCCUUAUUAUCUAUUACAGCAUACUGGAUGACUCUCAUUCCAUUCACCCAGCUCAAUGUAAAGUCGAUAGGUUUAGGCUACUACAUGAUACUCAAGUUUUCCCUAUACCCAUCAUUAGAUUGCUACAACCUAGCCUAUGAAUUAAAGUUUACAGCGUAGGUGUAUAGGUCAUGAGAAAAAUCUAAGUGACAGACAGUGACACAUUCGGUACCACCUUGCACAACUUGCUUGCAUCUAGCUGAUCUAGGGUGUGUACUCAUUAGUCCAACAGUUGCAAACAACAGUUUAUAUUGGACAAAUUCAGGUGUGUUUAUCCCCAUUUCAUUCUGUUUUCUUAUGUUUAAGAUGUUUCUUUUACAGAAUCGGCGGAAUGAUUACACCCAUGAUCACACUCAAACACAGUUCACUUUCGUAGCAGCCACAAACACACAGUAUAAUCACUUUGCUCGUUGUAUAUCCCUUCUCACAUCUACGCACACCUUUUCACUUCACUUGUGGACUUCAGUGCACAACACAUCAGCUGUCUGUGACCAGGAGAAAAAAACCUGCUAUAAUCAUGCAGUACAGUGUACAGUCAGCAAGCAGUUUAGCAGUUACACCAGCAAGCCCCGGUGGUAACAAAUUAAUAAAACCAAAAGCUUACCUUGACUUGGAAGAGUUCCAGUGUUGGAUAGCCAUAGCCAGCUAGCAUCCCUCUUUGUUUGAGCCAGGUGUUUGAGUAGGCAAAACUAGCUUUCUGCAUUUGCAAGUGAAGUAAUUAAAAGUGAGAAAAAUAAAUAAAAUGAAAUAUAGCUAGCUUUCUCUCUUCUCUCUUGCUUCUCCUUUAUUUUUGAAGAAAUUAAUUUGUUUAAAACGGUUGAACUAUGAUCCUUCUCUGUCUUUGAGUCAACUACUCACCACAUUUUAUGCAGUGCUAGCUAGCUGUAGCUUCUGCUUUCAGUACUAGAUUCAUUCUCUGAUCCUUUGAUUGGGUGGACAACGUGUCAGUUCAUGCUGCAAGAGCUCCGAUAGGUUGGAGGACAUCCUCCGGAAGUUGUCAUUAUUACUGUGUAACUUGGUGUCCUCUGGCUACACCAUGGUGCUACCAUACAGAGUGCUGUUGAGGUUACUAUAGACCUUCACUGCAAAACAGUGGAUUUUAAUCAAUUAUUUGUUGACAUGUGAGUAUAUUUAUGUCACGAAUCCCGCUUCCUGAGUCUGUUUUUGCCUGUGUUCUGUCCUGGAGUGUUUUUUCCGGUGUCCUGGAACGCACCCGGUCUGGUUGCCGGGCGACGUAGCUAGUUGGAAGAUCUCUGAGUACCUGCACCUGUAUCCCAUCAGCUAUCUGCACACCUGGUCCUGAUCAUCACCCCUCCACUUCAUAAGCACUGACCUGACAUCCAUUCCCUGCCGGAUCGUUAACCAUGAACAUCAUUCACCCGGAACACUCAUCUUAUCCCUACCUGGUCGUCGGUGACUUCAGUUACUUCCUUGGAUCUGUCUAUUCAAUCCCAUCAACUCACCUCCGCUGCCCGCUCCGUCACUUGGAUUUUUCUAUCACUACAUUCAAACUUGUAAAUAAAUACUCUCCUUGUCCUGGUCUGCUUCUGGGUUCAACUUUAGAAGAAGCGUGACAAUUUAUAGUAAAGUUUAAUCUAUAAAAGGAUCACUUUUUUUUUAAUCUUUCACAAUUUGUAUUUUUAUGAAAUUCACUGAGGAUGGCCCUCCCAUUCCUCCU
Salvelinus fontinalis (brook trout) is the source of this 4670-nucleotide long non-coding RNA. RefSeq lists it as uncharacterized. NCBI's taxonomy places the organism in Eukaryota, Metazoa, Chordata, Actinopteri, Salmoniformes, Salmonidae. The transcript has 8 exons. The record is from RefSeq and is a predicted model, not a curated record.